Molecule: ribosomal RNA, 811 nt
Filed under: uncultured archaeon
Lineage: Archaea
Description: bacterial SSU rRNA
Rfam family: Archaeal small subunit ribosomal RNA
Source: RNAcentral
ACGGCUCAGUAACACGUGGCUAAUCUGCCCUUGGGACCGGAACACCCCCGGGAAACUGGGGCUAAUUCUCGAUAGGUGAAGAACUCUGGAAUGAGUCUUUGCCCAAAAGACGUUUACGUUAUGCUCGUGGGCGUCGCCCAAGGAUGAGGCCGCGACCGAUCAGGUUGUUGGUGAGGUAAUGGCUCACCAAGCCUUUUACCGGUGCGGGCCGUGAGAGCGGGAGCCCGGAGAUGGGCACUGAGACAAGGGCCCAGGCCCUACGGGGCGCAGCAGUCGCGAAAACUUUGCAAUACACGAAAGUGUGACAGGGCUAUCCCGAGUGCCAUCCGCUGAGGAAGGCUUUUACCCAGUCUAGAACGCUGGGGGAAUAAGGAGAGGGCAAGUCUGGUGUCAGCCGCCGCGGUAAUACCAGCUCUCCGAGUGGUGUGGAUGUUUAUUGGGCCUAAAGCAUCCGUAGCUGGCCAAGUUAGUCCCUUGUUAAACCCACCGAAUCAAUCGUUGGAUUGCGGGGGAUACUGCUCGGCUAGGGGACGAGAGAGGCAGACGGUAUUUUCGGGGUAGGGGUGAAAUCCUAUAAUCCCGGGAAGACCACCAGUGGCGAAGGCUGUCUGCUAGAACGCGCCCGACGGUGAGGGAUGAAAGCUGGGGGAGCGAACCGGAUUAGAUACCCGGGUAGUCCCAGCUGUAAACGAUGCAGGCUAGGUGUUUGGGCGGCCACGUGCCGCUCUAGUGCCGCAGGGAAACUGUUAAGCCUGCCGCCUGGGGAGUACGGUCGCAAGAUUGAAACUUAAAGGAAUUGGCGGGGGAGCAC